AAUGUCUUGAUUCAGUCAAAUUUUCUAUCUUGUAUCUCCUGAACUCUGAUAUUUUGCUUGCUGGUCUUCAUCGUGCUCUGAAUGCAGUAUCUGGUUUCUCUUACUUUAACCCGCCCAACUUGCACCUGAUUGGCAUGUUAGCCUUUUGAUUCCCUCCCAGUGAGGCGGUGCUUCACAAAGCAAACUGUUUGUCAAACUGUUGAUCUGCCUGAUGGCUGUUUUAGAAGAUAUGGUGACUGAGUUUUAGACAGUACUAGCCAGCUCAUGCAGCUUGUUUUUACUAGAUGGCUGUCCUAAAAGUACAUAUCUUUAAAAUAUGAAUAAAUACGUACAAUUCCAUAAUUAUUCGAUCCAACGGUUAUAGAAGUUUUGUAAUAAUGCAAUUCAGGUAUUUUACAUUUUCUGGACUAAAGGAGGAUUUCAGUUCAACACCUGUGGUUUCUUAAUUUUUUUCCCACUUAGUUCCACUACUGCUGUGGAUUUUAUAGUCAAUGUUUAAAGCCAACAGAGUCUGAAGCGAUGGAGGAAAUUUACGUCAAUAUGGAACCUGUUGGAAAAACUGCAUCUAAUCACACAGGUUGGAGCAGCUCCAAAGAGAGGCUCUGCCUCCGUGC
Molecule: long non-coding RNA, 614 nt
Organism: Xiphophorus maculatus (southern platyfish)
Lineage: Eukaryota; Metazoa; Chordata; Actinopteri; Cyprinodontiformes; Poeciliidae
Exons: 3
Source: RefSeq, a predicted model, not a curated record